Molecule: ribosomal RNA, 480 nt
Filed under: Enterococcus faecalis
Lineage: Bacteria; Bacillati; Bacillota; Bacilli; Lactobacillales; Enterococcaceae
Description: bacterial SSU rRNA
Rfam family: Bacterial small subunit ribosomal RNA
Source: RNAcentral
UGCAGUCGAACGCUUCUUUCCUCCCGAGUGCUUGCACUCAAUUGGAAAGAGGAGUGGCGGACGGGUGAGUAACACGUGGGUAACCUACCCAUCAGAGGGGGAUAACACUUGGAAACAGGUGCUAAUACCGCAUAACAGUUUAUGCCGCAUGGCAUAAGAGUGAAAGGCGCUUUCGGGUGUCGCUGAUGGAUGGACCCGCGGUGCAUUAGCUAGUUGGUGAGGUAACGGCUCACCAAGGCCACGAUGCAUAGCCGACCUGAGAGGGUGAUCGGCCACACUGGGACUGAGACACGGCCCAGACUCCUACGGGAGGCAGCAGUAGGGAAUCUUCGGCAAUGGACGAAAGUCUGACCGAGCAACGCCGCGUGAGUGAAGAAGGUUUUCGGAUCGUAAAACUCUGUUGUUAGAGAAGAACAAGGACGUUAGUAACUGAACGUCCCCUGACGGUAUCUAACCAGAAAGCCACGGCUAACUACGUGC